RNAcentral lists this ribosomal RNA (961 nucleotides) under Angiostrongylus cantonensis (rat lungworm). RNAcentral's name for it is "16S ribosomal RNA". Lineage: Eukaryota; Metazoa; Nematoda; Chromadorea; Rhabditida; Metastrongylidae. The record is from RNAcentral.
UAGUUUAGUAUUUUUUAAAUUUUGAUAUUGCAUAUCGUUUAAAGAAAAUUUUAUAGAAAUAAAUAAUAGAAAGAGAAAGUAGAAGAUUAAUUUAUUUUAUUGUUUCAAAAUAAGAAUUAUUAAUUUUAGUGUUGAAAAGUCGCUUUUUUUGAUAUCUGUUUUAUUGUUAAAUAUUAGAAAUUUAUAUUAUAUGGAAAAAUUUUGAAUUAAAUAGAAUUUGAAGUUUUUUUAUUAUUAGUUUUAUAACUGUUGUUUUUUUUAUUAAAUGGCUUUUUUUUUGUUUAAUAGAUUUUUAUUAAAUUUAUAAUUUUGAAAUUAGUAAUUUUUUGGUAAGUAGUUGUUUGUUUAAAUAUAAGUUUUGAAAUUGAAAUUCAAUCAAAUGUUUUUUAAAGACUUAGACUUUUUAAUAAAGUUGGCUUCUGCCCGGUGAGUUUUUUAACGGCAGUCUUAGCGUGAGGACAUUAAGGUAGCAAAAUAAUUUGUGCUUUUAUUGGGUUCUAGUAUGAAUGAAGUUAUUGGUUGAUUUUUUAUUUUUUUUUUUUAUGAAUUUAAAUAGGUAUAAAAAUGUACUUGUACAGUUUUACAAAGAUAAGUCUUUGGAAAUUCUUUUUUGAUUUUUAUAAUGUUUUGUUAUAUUAUUAAAAAAUUUUCUAGGGUAGAAUAUUAUAUAUUUUGAAGAACUAAAGGUAAGUUUAGGAAUUACUCCAGAGUUAACAGAAAAUCAUACUUAAUCUAGUUCUUAUAGUAGAGUAAGUUUUACAUCGAUGUUGUAUUUAAGUAUAUUAAGGAGGAGAAGAUUUAAUUUUUAAGACUGUUCUUCUUUUAAUUAAUUUAACGUGAUAUUAGUUUAAUUCAUCGUGAGAUAGAAUUGUUUAUCUUGAUAAUUGUUAUUAAUUAGUUUUAUUAGUACGAAAGGAAUUUAGUGAAAAGUUUAAAACUUUUUGAUCGGUUGUUGUUCAUU